Molecule: ribosomal RNA, 383 nt
Filed under: uncultured eukaryote
Lineage: Eukaryota
Description: partial 18S ribosomal RNA
Rfam family: Eukaryotic small subunit ribosomal RNA
Source: RNAcentral
CAAUAGCGUAUAUUAAAGUUGUUGCAGUUAAAAAGCUCGUAGUUGGGUUUCUGGUAGGAGCGACCGUGCCGAACUUGAUUGUUCGAGUAUUGUGCUGUCUUCAGCCAUCCUCGUGGAGAACUUUUCUAACAUUAACUUGUUGGGAUUGGGACCCGCGUCGUUUACUGUGAAAAAAUUAGAGUGUUUAAAGCAGGCAUUAGCUUGAAUACAUUAGCAUGGAAUAAUAAGAUAGGACUUUGGUACUAUUUUGUUGGUUUGCAUACCAAAUUAAUGAUCAACAGGAACAGUUUGAGGAUAUUCGUAUGAACAUGUCAGAGGUGAAAUUCUUGGAUUUUGAUCAGACGAACUACUGCGAAAGCAUUUAUCAAGGAUGUUUUCAUUAA